CGGGUGAGUAACGCGUGGGUAACCUGCCUUGUACUGGGGGACAACAGUUAGAAAUGACUGCUAAUACCGCAUAAGCGCACAGUAUCGCAUGAUACAGUGUGAAAAACUCCGGUGGUACAAGAUGGACCCGCGUCUGAUUAGCUAGUUGGUAAGGUAACAGCUUACCAAGGCGACGAUCAGUAGCCGACCUGAGAGGGUGACCGGCCACAUUGGGACUGAGACACGGCCCAA
This 231-nucleotide ribosomal RNA is filed under the name uncultured bacterium. Its description in RNAcentral is "partial 16S ribosomal RNA". It matches the Rfam family "Bacterial small subunit ribosomal RNA", at positions 103 to 334 of the family's 1533-position model. The record is from RNAcentral.